UGAGGAUAAAUACAAGUAAAGAAACAGAUCCCCAGCCAAAACUACUUUAAUCUAUAAAAGACUUUCAUUUUCAUUUAUAAAUAGCUUUUUUUUCGAAGAUAAAACCAAAACCUUCAGCCAUAACAUGCCAAUCCAAUCUAUAGGUAUAGUAUUAUCCCAAACAAAGGCAAUUACUUGCCAUAUUAUCAAGUGAAAAUAGAAUUAGAUACUUUUCUAUCUGAUUGUUGCUUUCGAUCGCAAGUUAAAAAUGCAGUCAGAAAUAUCAAAGGUGCAUUCUAUUGUUGCUAGCUUCCUUUUACGAUGAUUUAGAUGGUGUUUUGUGCUUCUACAUGAUCCAUUUAUGAGCUCAUAUUAAAAGUGAAGAGAAACACAUUGUUUUAUCGCCCAUAUCUGCUGGAGGAAGUGCGGUUCAUUUAGUCAGUUCAUCUUAUUGCUAUCAAGUUGGGAGAUCCCAAGGCUAUAUAAGACCCACAUCAGUUCCUCAUUAAACCGAUGUGGAACUCAAGUCCCAUUCCUUGCAAUAAUAUCAUAACAAACCACCACGCUCCGCAUCGUCAUCCUCAACAGCUGUGAGCUAGACAUUGCUAGCCCCGGCCAAACAAUGCCAUACCGGCGUCACCAUCCAAGGCACAGUGGGCAUGGAGAAUGAUGGGUGGUUCUGAUACCAUUGAUACAACCUUAGUAGAACCACACCCUAAAAACUGGCUAUCAAGGUGGGAGAACCCAAGGCUAUAUAAGCCCCACUAAAGUUCCACAUGUAACCAAUGUGGGACACACAACAUAUGGUUCAACUCUUAAGUCCCAUUCCUUGCAAUAAUAUCAUAACAUUAACUCUAUCAUUAGAGUCAACCCCAACAACUAGUGGGGUUCUGAAACACAUAGGAAAGGAACUUCAAGGUUGCAUUGGUUUAUCACUUAUUUUUCAUAAAGAAGAAAGAUCCCUGUUUUAAUCAUUACACAUUUUCUUUUGAGGCCUCCAGUUAGUUGUGUGGAAUUUGCAUUAAUCCGUUUUUGUCCUUUCUAUUAGUUGGUCUUAUUUAUACGUGGAUAUUUUUCAUGGUAUUUUUCAACAUUAAAUAUUUAUAUCAACCAACGAGUGAUAUAUACACCAUUGGCAUCCAUUCAUAUCCAGACACAAGUCUUCCAUCAAUUUCCUGAUAUAAAUUCUUACCUUAAUUUUUCUUAUAUUUUGGCUGUUUUGUUUUAAUCACCAAUUAGAUUAAUGUCACUGAUUCAUUAUGCGCAGCUGUUAAAACACCAAGAACGAAGGAUGAAAAGAAGAAAUCAAAGCCAAGAGGUGAACAACAUCAAAGGUAAUUUGGUAGAUGAUCAAGUAAUGGUAUAAUUUGAUUUCUUCAUGAAUGGAUAGAUUCAACAUCCGUGCUAGCGUUACUGAUUAGCCUUGUACAUUCCAAAAGAAGAAAAGAGUCACUCUAACAGCAGGGCAAGAAAUCUUUUGAGGUUUUAUUUAUGGGAUCACAUGAUCCUGCACCAUUGUCUAUUUAAUCUUAAGAAGACGAGCAAGCUCAAUAAGGUUGAAGAAGGCUUCGGCCUUUUCCUAUGCGAUCCAUUCAUCUAUGAAUUUGUUAGGGGUAAAAACUUAGUUUUGUUCUGCUAUAUGUAAACUUGAUUUCUUUGCCCAACUUAUAUGAUGAAACUAUUUUUUUUUCUCUAUUUAGAGGAAUGAUUCCAACCACCAUUCACGUACUAUUCCUCAUCAGUCGUCAUGAGGAAGAGCAAUUGAGAAUUCUCAUUCCAGAAAUACACUGACAAGAACUUAGAGUUUGUUUCUUCAAAAUGCAGAUUUCAGCUUCCCUUGUAUCAAUGAGUUUCAGUUUUAACUUUGUUAUCUAGGUGUGUUUGGUAUGAUGGAAAAAUGUACCUGUUUAGUUGGAGAGAGAACUUUUAACCAUUUACUAAGGAUUUUAAAUAAUAUUAGCAACUGGAUUCAUAAAAACAACAUAGCAAACCAAAUAUUGUUUGAUGGAA
RNAcentral lists this long non-coding RNA (1989 nucleotides) under Solanum tuberosum (potato). Its description in RNAcentral is "long non-coding RNA (STUB_LNC003615)". The record is from RNAcentral. Lineage: Eukaryota; Viridiplantae; Streptophyta; Magnoliopsida; Solanales; Solanaceae.